ACGUAGUUAGCCGAGACUUAUUCCGGGGAUACCGUCCUUCCUCUUCUCCCGAAAAGUGGUUUACAACCCAAGGCCGUCAUCCCACACGCGGCGUUGCUGCGUCAGGCUUUCGCCCAUUGUCGCAAUAUCCCUU
This 133-nucleotide ribosomal RNA is filed under the name uncultured bacterium. RNAcentral's name for it is "partial 16S ribosomal RNA". The record is from RNAcentral.